Molecule: non-coding RNA, 124 nt
Organism: Triticum aestivum (bread wheat)
Lineage: Eukaryota; Viridiplantae; Streptophyta; Magnoliopsida; Poales; Poaceae
Source: Rfam
UAUAUACUCCCUCCGUCCGGAAGUACUUGUCCCCAAAACGGUUGUAUCUAGACUUAUUUUAGUCAUAGAUACAUCCAUUUUAUCCAUUUCUAGGAUAAGUAUUUCUGGACGGAGGAAGUACUAG